This 445-nucleotide ribosomal RNA is filed under the name uncultured bacterium. Its description in RNAcentral is "partial 16S ribosomal RNA". It matches the Rfam family "Bacterial small subunit ribosomal RNA", at positions 331 to 792 of the family's 1533-position model. The record is from RNAcentral.
CCAGACUCCUACGGGAGGCAGCAGUGGGGGAUAUUGCACAAUGGGGGAAACCCUGAUGCAGCGACGCCGCGUGGGUGAAGGAGCGUUUCGGCGCGUAAAGCCCUAUCGGCAGGGAAGAAGGAGGACGGUACCUGACUAAGAAGCCCCGGCUAACUACGUGCCAGCAGCCGCGGUAAUACGUAGGGGGCAAGCGUUAUCCGGAUUUACUGGGUGUAAAGGGAGCGUAGACGGCACGGCAAGUCAGAUGUGAAAGCCCGGGGCUCAACCCCGGGACUGCAUUUGAAACUGUCAGGCUGGAGUGCAGGAGAGGUAAGUGGAAUUCCUAGUGUAGCGGUGAAAUGCGUAGAUAUUAGGAGGAACACCAGUGGCGAAGGCGGCUUACUGGACUGUAACUGACGUUGAGGCUCGAAAGCGUGGGGAGCAAACAGGAUUAGAUACCCGAGUA